GUGCUGCAACAUGGCCUCCUCCUCCUUCCCCUCGCGUCCCGCGGCACGGGGCGGUAGGGACCAGAACUCUGGCUGCCCUUGGAGUGCCAAAUGCCUCUUACAAGCUGACAUCAGGAGCCUGGAGGGGUGAGUUUUGUUUCCCAUGGGAAAGGGCCACUGUUCAUGUCCGGGGGCCUGUGUAUAGGAGUGGGCUUCUGCCUCCAAAAAUUACAAAUCUGGAAGAUUAAAGUUGCCCCCACCUAGAACUCUGGUUGCCCUUCAAGUGCCAAAUGCCUCUGACAAGCUGACAUCAGGAGCCCGGGGGGGGCGGUGAUGACGCAGUGCUGGAUUUUCCCCAGGCAGCUCCCAGCAGCGGGCCAAGAGCGGGCUGUUCCCAGAAAGCAGUGCAGUCCAGGGUAC
This 399-nucleotide long non-coding RNA is filed under the name Parus major (Great Tit). RNAcentral's name for it is "lncRNA (ENSPMJG00000015420.1)". Lineage: Eukaryota; Metazoa; Chordata; Aves; Passeriformes; Paridae. The record is from RNAcentral.